This is a long non-coding RNA of Salarias fasciatus (jewelled blenny), 792 nucleotides long. RefSeq lists it as uncharacterized. The record is from RefSeq and is a predicted model, not a curated record. The transcript has 3 exons. NCBI's taxonomy places the organism in Eukaryota, Metazoa, Chordata, Actinopteri, Blenniiformes, Blenniidae.
UGCUACAUUCAGUCAGAACAUUGUACAGCCGCUGCUAUCUUUCCCGCUAAAACCAAUGUUUAUCCAGAGGAACUGUGCAAAAAUCGGUGGAAGAGCCUGAGGGACAAGUACACCAAGGAGUUCAGGAAGGAGCAAGAGAGGAGGAAGAAGAGUGGUUCAGAGGCAGGGUCAGCCAAGGGGUGGAAAUACCGAGCUGUUUUAUCCUUCCUCGACCCCCACAUCGCCCCACGGGAGACGUCAGGCAACAUGCUGUUGCCAAGGGUCGAGGAAGAGGAGGAAGCAGGGUAUGACCACCCAGAAGAGCCACAGGAAGAAGCAGGAGCAGGGAUGUCAGAACUUGCUGACAUAGGACCUGGGACAGAACCAUCCUCUUCUAACCCAGAGUCACCUGUGCCUGCUGCUGCUGCUUCUUCUGCCUCUUCUGCGCAGGCUGGCCCUUCAUCUGCUCCUACACCUUCAGGGCCACCUCGUAAGAGGCAAAGAAGAAGGCUCCAGGACCGCUCAGAGCCAUCAGCGUUUGAGCGGGAGUUGCUGGCAGAACUGAGGAAACCUUACUCAGAAGAUGAGCACUUCCUCCUCUCUCUGCUUCCUCUCCUGCAAAAAGUGCCGCCUCAAUCAAAAGAUUUUGUCAAAUUUCAAAUACACAAACUAUUAUAUGAAAGCAGCACUUUUAUGCUAAAUUUGGAACAAUUGGAGCCAACUCAGUAAUUUGACCUGAAUGAGGUGACACUUUUUGCAGGAGAGGAACCAGACUCCGGUGUGUCCCUCCUCUUCCACCGCACCUCCUCCAAU